GUCGAACGGUAACAGGAAGCAGCUUGCUGCUUUGCUGACGAGUGGCGGACGGGUGAGUAAUGUCUGGGAAACUGCCUGAUGGAGGGGGAUAACUACUGGAAACGGUGGCUAAUACCGCAUAACGUCGCAAGACCAAAGAGGGGGACCUUCGGGCCUCUUGCCAUCAGAUGUGCCCAGAUGGGAUUAGCUUGUUGGUGAGGUAACGGCUCACCAAGGCGACGAUCCCUAGCUGGUCUGAGAGGAUGACCAGCCACACUGGAACUGAGACACGGUCCAGACUCCUACGGGAGGCAGCAGUGGGGAAUAUUGCACAAUGGGCGCAAGCCUGAUGCAGCCAUGC
RNAcentral lists this ribosomal RNA (340 nucleotides) under Salmonella enterica subsp. enterica serovar Bareilly. Its description in RNAcentral is "bacterial SSU rRNA". It matches the Rfam family "Bacterial small subunit ribosomal RNA", at positions 61 to 397 of the family's 1533-position model. The record is from RNAcentral. Lineage: Bacteria; Pseudomonadati; Pseudomonadota; Gammaproteobacteria; Enterobacterales; Enterobacteriaceae.